This 498-nucleotide ribosomal RNA is filed under the name uncultured bacterium. RNAcentral's name for it is "partial 16S ribosomal RNA". It matches the Rfam family "Bacterial small subunit ribosomal RNA", at positions 30 to 523 of the family's 1533-position model. The record is from RNAcentral.
AUUGAACGCUGGCGGCAUGCCUUACACAUGCAAGUCGAACGGCAGCACGGGGCAACCUGGUGGCGAGUGGCGAACGGGUGAGUAAUGCAUCGGAACGAACCUUUCAGUGGGGGAUAACGUAGCGAAAGUUACGCUAAUACCGCAUAUUCUGUGAGCAGGAAAGCAGGGGAUCGCAAGACCUUGCGCUGAUUGAGCGGCCGAUGUCAGAUUAGCUAGUUGGUGAGGUAAAGGCUCACCAAGGCGACGAUCUGUAGCGGGUCUGAGAGGAUGAUCCGCCACACCGGAACUGAGACACGGUCCAGACUCCUACGGGAGGCAGCAGUGGGGAAUUUUGGACAAUGGGGGCAACCCUGAUCCAGCCAUGCCGCGUGAGUGAAGAAGGCCUUCGGGUUGUAAAGCUCUUUCGGCCGGGAAGAAAUCGCACGGGCUAAUACCCUGUGUGGAUGACGGUACCGGAAUAAGAAGCACCGGCUAACUACGUGCCAGCAGCCGCAGUAA